UCGGGAAUAUUGCGCAAUGGAGGAAACUCUGACGCAGUGACGCCGCGUAUGGGAAGAAGGUUUCGGAUUGUAAACCAUUUUAGACAAGGAAGAAAAAAGACAGUACUUGUAGAAUAAGCUCCGGCUAACUACGUGCCAGCAGCCGCGGUAAUACGUAGGGAGCAAGCGUUAUCCGGAUUUAUUGGGUGUAAAGGGUGCGUAGACGGGAAGGUAAGUUAGUUGUGAAAUCCCUCGGCUCAACUGAGGAACUGUGACUAAAACUGCUUUUCUUGAGUACUGGAGAGGAAAGUGGAAUUCCUAGUGUAGCGGUGAAAUGCGUAGAUAUUAGGAGGAACACCAGUGGCGAAGGCGACUUUCUGGACAGUAACUGACGUUGAGGCACGAAAGUGUGGGGAGCAAACAGGAUUAGAUACC
This 414-nucleotide ribosomal RNA is filed under the name uncultured bacterium. Its description in RNAcentral is "bacterial SSU rRNA". It matches the Rfam family "Bacterial small subunit ribosomal RNA", at positions 355 to 786 of the family's 1533-position model. The record is from RNAcentral.